CGACCUCAUGGAUACUAGUCUGGUUCAUAACUGCUGCACCACAAUGGGAACUCCUCGCUUACAUUUUGAGUUUACUAAUAUUUAAUAAAAGCAAUUGUCCUUUGAACAUUGUCAUAAAAAGUUACACUAACCUAUUAUUUCCAGUGAGACCAUUUCCUUUAGCAGCCACUUUAAGACAGUAUGCUUUUCAUCUGCACUGUUCCAGGGUUUCUGAGCACAGAUAUCUUGAAAGAUGUAAUAGGUAUUAUUUCUUGAUAACUGCUUUCUUUAAAGAUGAACAAACUGAGAGUUGAGCAAGCUCAAGCAUUUUACUCAAAGUCCCACAUCUGGUGCCUGGGCCACGGAAGGGGAGCCCUGGUUUAUUUCUAGAGCCCGUGUCCCUUCCAUGUGCCGCCCUCUCCCUUCCUUUCUCCUCCCACCUCCAUUUCAGUUUCUGCUCACCCUUGGCUCAGCCCUCCCACCUGAUCACUUUUUCCCCACCUGGGACUGAAGUUUAGAAGUGGCAGCAUCCAUUCUCAAGUUGUCUGGGCAUUAACUCCAGUCUCAGCCUGUCUCCAUGCCUUUAGAACAAUGCACCACUAUUUCAGGAAAGAGUUAAAGAUCCAACAGUCUCUCUUACAAGAUUUCAAAGAGGAGGUUGCUGUUCUAGGUAAAGCAAACUUGAAGUGGUCUAUAUACUGAGAGAAGUUUUACUCGCAGUUUAAGGGUGGAGACUGGUGAGUGUCAGCAUCUGCCUCCUAGGAAGGCUUGUGCUUCUCACGGCUCACCCUAAUAAGCCUGGAGGUCUGUCGUUUCCAUACACCUCUUCAAUGAGGUAAUCAACGAGAGUCCACUGAUGGAAGCUUGGGGUGCACUCUUCGGCUGUGAAAGAAUGGACUCAUCAUCCCAGAUGACAGUGGGAGAAAUGUUUGAGAAGUCCUGUGGUGUCAGAGCACGCACAGUUUCGGUCUCAGCUGCCUAUGAAGUGGUACUCUCUCAGCAACAGCAACAGCAGGUAACAAUACAAAAAAAUACUUUGGAUGUAACAGGGACUUCUUGAAAAGGUCGAAAACCUCCCUCGCAAAGCCCUUAAAUAGACUAGGCAAAUACAGAGGAACUUAAUAGCAAGGGACUGGCUGCUACUCUUGCACCACCAGCACGACCCCAGUGCUACAGUUUUAGGGCAGCUGGAAGCACAUCCUACACAGGAGCCCCGCCCCCCAACUUUAUCUUUGCCAAGUUUCUAGGAGAAGCCAUUGACCUUAGGGUCAAGAGGCAAACCGACAAACACUGUGAGCCAGCUUAUCUUAAAUGCCCUUUCCCCAGUCUCCCAACCAGCCCCUUCCAUUUAUACAGUAGAUGAAGUUCUAAGGGCAGCCCCAGACCGCUGCCAUCUUUAGAAGGACUGAUCUCUUCAUUUAGCCACUCUCCUGUCUUACCUGAGGCCUUGAGCCAAGAGAAUUCCAGCCCUAACUGUCUUACUGCAUUCAUAUUUAAUAAAAAUACGUAAAUUUUUGGCCACACCCAUGGCAUGCGGAAGAACCUGGGCCUAGGAUCACACCCAAGCCAUAGCAGUGACACCAAAUCUUUAACUACUAGGCCACCAAGGAACUCCAAAAUAAAUGUUUUUAAAACCCUGAGAUCUUAGUAUCUAAUCAUGAUUUUCAACUCAGUCUUGUCUAUUCACAUGGAUAGUUUUUCAGGACCUCCAACCCACUGUUCCUUCUAGUUUUGCAGAAUCCCUCACCCCUUCCCAUGGUCUCACUUCCCUAUUUACCCACCAUUAAUGUCCUUUCCUCUUUUGUUUUUUGUUUAUGGCUGCACCUGUGGCACAUGGAAGUUCCCAGACUAGGGUGCAAUUGGAGCUGCAGCUACCGCCUAUGCCACUGCUACAGCAACACCAAAUCUGAGCCACAGCUAUGACCUAUGCAGCUUGUGGCAACUCCAGAUCUUUAACCCACUGUGUGAGGCAGGAAUCAAACCUGCAACCUCACAGAGACAACAUUGGGUCCUUAACCCACCGAGCCACAAUGAAAACUCCUCUCUCUUUUUUUUUUUUUUUUUAGGGCCACACCCUUGGCCUGUGGGGGCUCCCGGGCUAGGAGUCAAUUGGAGCUACAGCUGCUGGCCACAGCCACAUCAGAUCCGAGCCACAUCUGCAACCUACACCAUAGCUAACAGCAAUACCGGAUCCUUAACCCACUGAGUGAGGCCAGGGAUCAAACCUGUGCCCUUGUGGAUGGUAGUCAGAUUCGUUUCCUUUGGGCCACGAUGGGAACUCCCUCUUCUCCUCUUUUGAGUUAAGUUGGCAAAACUUUAAAUCUUAUUACACCAAAUUACCCACCAAUGUUGCACCUAAACUUAAGUAGCUGUUGGAACUGGAUGAAACCACAUAACCAGUGACUAGCCUCACUUUAAAUCAUGAACACAAAUCUGAAAUGAGAUUCAAUACUUCCCACAAUUCUGUAUUUCUCUAGCUAAUUUAUUUUCCUACUCUGCGACAACAGUUUCACACCACCUUUCUUUUGAAAUAUCCCCUACUCCUCCCCUCACUCAGUGACCUCACCACACAUUUUAUUGAGAAAAUAGACGCAAAUGAGAAUGACUUUAGCCUCCACUAACUUCUCUACCUAGUGAAUCCGCAUGACUUGCAUUUGCAUUUAUUUUGAUAGAAAUUUCCCUAUACAUAUUCUAGGACAAUCAUCAACUUUCCCUACUUUGACAAUUAGAGAGUAGGAACCCCCAGACUCAAACCAGAUAGACUCAGAGAUGGAAGAAUCAGGGUGCUAUGACCACAGAGGUGAAGAAAUUCCAACCACCACACCUUACUACUCCCUUCCAUAGAUGUGUUCCAACUCUGGAGGGAGCAUCAAAUUAUCUCCAUCACUGGGACUUAUGAAAAUAAAUAUAAGAUACUGUACAUAUACAGGAUUGUCAUUCAAGAUCCAGAAACCUACACGACACCAACUUAUAUUCCUUUCCUUUCAGAGAACUUGGGCAAUAAACUAUACAUUAAAAUUUUAUGUAAUAAGCUCUUUUAUUUAUACUUUUAAUCAGUUUGUGCUUAUUUUUGUUUCAUUUUUACUGCUAAUACAAGUAUAAAUUGAUUCAGUCUUUUUAGAAAUCAAGUAUGCAGUAUACAUUUUACAUUAAAGCCUUAAAACUGUUUAUUUCCUUUGAAUUCAUCAUCUAUUACUAGGAAUCUAAGGAAAGAGAGGGACAGAAACAUCUCCAUCCUACGAUUGUGAAUAAGAGAAAAAAUUUGGAUAUAAUAUAGAUGCCUAUGGGGUAAUGAUUAAGAGUAUUACCAAUAAAAUCAGUGUGCACACACAUCAAUAAAAAUAAUGUGCAUUCAUUAAAAUGAUGUUUAUAAAAACUAUUAAAAUCUAAGAGACUGUUCUUCAAUUCAGAUUAAUUGAGCCAAGAUUUACUGCACUUCCUAUUUGCCAGGCACUGAACUAAGCUCUGAGAAUUAGGUGAUGUUCAGCACAG
This 3471-nucleotide long non-coding RNA is filed under the name Sus scrofa (pig). Its description in RNAcentral is "lncRNA (ENSSSCG00000058564.1)". Lineage: Eukaryota; Metazoa; Chordata; Mammalia; Artiodactyla; Suidae. The record is from RNAcentral.